GAAGGUCAUGGACCUCUGCUUCUCCAAGCGUGAGCUGAGCUGGCUGGACGACCUCAUGCCUGAGAGCAAAAAGAAGAAGCUGGAUGAUGCGAAGAAGAAGGAGGAGGAGGAGGAGGCUGAGAAGAUGUUGGAUAUUGGGGGUGAUAAGUUCCCCCUGGAAAGCAGGAAGUUGCUAAGUAGUCCUGGCAAGAACAACAGCUUCAGAUGUGACCCUUCUGAGAUUAAUAUAUCAGAUGAAAUGCCUAAAACCACAGUCUGGAAGGCUCUCAGCAUAAAUUCUGGAAACACGAAAGAAAAAAGGUAAGGAGAGCUCUGGCUCCUGACUUUCAUUUUCCCCUGUCUUUUGAAAACGGUGACACUGUUGAUGGUAAAAUGAGUGUUGCUUGUAGGACUGAAUUUGUCUCGUAAAUAACAGAACUGUCGCUAACCGUACAGUAAGACAAAUAAAAAUAAAAAGUUUCCAAAUGUCUGGAGACAGGACGUUCUG
This 487-nucleotide long non-coding RNA is filed under the name Rattus norvegicus (Norway rat). RNAcentral's name for it is "long non-coding RNA NONRATT026306". Lineage: Eukaryota; Metazoa; Chordata; Mammalia; Rodentia; Muridae. The record is from RNAcentral.